Long non-coding RNA from Pseudophryne corroboree (corroboree frog), 1514 nucleotides. RefSeq lists it as uncharacterized. The transcript is spliced from 3 exons. The record is from RefSeq and is a predicted model, not a curated record. NCBI's taxonomy places the organism in Eukaryota, Metazoa, Chordata, Amphibia, Anura, Myobatrachidae.
CCUUGAACUCUGCUCUGCUCUGCGAGGUGCGAGCAUCCCGGCCGUCAGCUUGAGGGAGGAGGAGAUCUCUCCACGCGCGAUGGAUGCAGCCGACGGCGGACCUACUGAGCCUGGAGUCGGACAGGUGAGCGGGAACGGAGAGGGUGAGGAGCCUGGCUGUGGACUGUGCGGCAGGAGGCAUCCCCGGGGACAGCGUGGGGGAGAGAGGUAUCGGUACGGGAAGCGGUUAACAUACUGUCGCACGGGAUCCCCGCAAUCACAAUGCUGAUGCCGGAAUCCUGCUCAGCGGUACAAUGACGGCGCAGAAAUACGGGCGAGAAAUAACAUCAUUGAAUGCCUUGGAGCUACUAACUCAUGGUUUCUACAUUAAUUUCACCAGCAGGUCAGAUUUAUAUUGAAAACAAUUUAAUAGACUAUAAAAAGGAAAUUACACUGAAGCAAGGAUACCACAAAAGAGAUUACGAGAGUUCUUUUUGACUAUAUAUAUUACUAAUGUCAUUAUUUGUGCAUUCCCAGUAACUGCUAGAAAAGCAAGUUGUUGUAUAUAUGAGCAUUAAUGUCAUUUUUGCUACGGCAUAACAGUAGAUUGCAAAUAAGCAUGUUAAAAUGGCAUUCAAGGACUGUGUCAUUUAUUUGGGAUUAAAGGGCAAUGAAAAUGUAACUGAUAAGAGUUUUCAGUAUACAUUUCAAAGAAUAUGAUUAUCAAAGAAAUCAUUUUGCAUCAUAUAAAAAAAUACAUAACCUAGUAUGGUAAACUAAUUUAUGUACAAAAAUCAGUUAUGCUUACCUGUAUCAGCUAUGAAGUGGAUUUUCCUAAAGUACUGUAUACCCAUCACUAUACUAAGGGGCGUAUUCAACUGGGACUUUUAUCCCACGCGCAAUAAGCCCAGAGGGUGAACUUUCCUCACAGCCUCAGGAGCUGUAAGAAAAGGUCCACAUUAAAUUGCACCCACGGGAUUUACUGAGAAUCUGCAUUUUAAACAGUAAAUCGAUUGUUGAAAGAGUAUAUGACUCCAUGGGGGCAUUCACUUGUGCCUCGCGACCCCUGCUGCCGUCUAUGGUAAUAGGUGUCUAUCAGUGCAAUUCAAUUGUUGCUCUGAUCAGGUGCCCAUUAGCAGCGGCAGUCACAUUUUUUCUCUCAGCCUCCGGGGGUGCAAGAAAAAAACCCUAAGGAAAGUCCAUAGUUUCGGUGCCUAAAGCGCCCAAACCCGGACUUUAGACACCUAACAGAGAUCUUUAGACGGGUUAGGCACGUUGUGCCGCUAAACCUGGUGCUUUCAGAUGCGUUAAAUGUUAAUGAGUGUAUGAUCAGAGCAACAAUUUAAAUGCUCUUAUUGGCGCCCAUUACUAUAGAUGGCCAGCAGGGGCAUGUGGUAGGACAAUUGGAUUCCACCUAUGUUUUGAAUAAAAAUUGGUUGAUAAUUGAUAAUUGUGGGCACGCGACUGUUUAACUGUUGAUACUUGUAUGUAAAUGUUUAUUUGUUUUGCAUGGAUCUCUGCGCUGGUCAUUAUGC